This is a long non-coding RNA of Symphalangus syndactylus (siamang), 494 nucleotides long. RefSeq lists it as uncharacterized. The record is from RefSeq and is a predicted model, not a curated record. NCBI's taxonomy places the organism in Eukaryota, Metazoa, Chordata, Mammalia, Primates, Hylobatidae.
GAAGUACUGUUGAGGUGAGAAUGAGAUUAAGAGAAAAAAAUAAGAAAUAGUGAGAUUCCAGAGACUAAUAACUGCUUGAAGCUGCUACAGGCACAAGGGGAGGAGGUAGCAUUCCUGGAGUCAACUGACAAUGAACACAGAAAGGGAACUAAUGGCUGGACUUUAGAAAUAGGUAGGCCUGCACUUUUUUCCCUGCUAAGAAAGGGAAUACUUAGCAGCUGUGUUGAAGAAAACACAAUGAAACAAAGAUUAACAACGAAACAGCUGAAUAAUUUAAGUCACCAAGUGGCUCCUCCUGGAAGCAGGGCAAUCUGUGAUUAUGAUGUUUGUCAUCCCAGGUGAUUUGGCUGAUUUGCCUAGCCAGCUCUUCUGGCAGGUGUGAAGUGGUAUCUCACUGUGGCUAAUAGGCAUUAUUUCUCUGGUGAUUAUGGAUGUCAUGCACAUUUUCAUAAAUUUAACGGCCAUCUAGAUAUCCCUUUCUGUGAAGGACCUGC